AGCUGGUCUGAGAGGAUGRMCAGCCACACUGGRACUGAGACACGGYCCAGACUCCUACGGGAGGCAGCAGUGGGGAAUAUUGGACAAUGGGGGCAACCCUGAUCCAGCAAUGCCGCGUGUGUGAAGAAGGCCUGAGGGUUGUAAAGCACUUUCAGUGGGGAGGAGGAUURMUAGGUUAAGAGCUGRGUAAUUGGACGUUACCCACAGAAGAAGCACCGGCUAACUCCGUGCCAGCAGCCGCGGUAAUACGGAGGGUGCGAGCGUUAAUCGGAAUKACUGGGCGUAAAGGGUKCGUAGGUGGUUUAUUAAGUURUYKGUGAAAU
This 323-nucleotide ribosomal RNA is filed under the name uncultured Legionella sp. Its description in RNAcentral is "partial 16S ribosomal RNA". It matches the Rfam family "Bacterial small subunit ribosomal RNA", at positions 285 to 600 of the family's 1533-position model. Lineage: Bacteria; Pseudomonadati; Pseudomonadota; Gammaproteobacteria; Legionellales; Legionellaceae. The record is from RNAcentral.